GUCUACGGCCAUGCUACGCUGAAUAAGCCUGAUCACCUCUGAUCUUGGAAGCUAAGCAGGGUCAGGCCUGGUCAGUCAGUACUUGGAUGGGAGAACACUAGGAAGACCAGGUGUUGUAGGCA
RNAcentral lists this ribosomal RNA (122 nucleotides) under Pteropus alecto (black flying fox). Lineage: Eukaryota; Metazoa; Chordata; Mammalia; Chiroptera; Pteropodidae. The record is from RNAcentral.